Non-coding RNA from Podarcis lilfordi (Lilford's wall lizard), 84 nucleotides. NCBI's taxonomy places the organism in Eukaryota, Metazoa, Chordata, Lepidosauria, Squamata, Lacertidae. The record is from the annotation of a GenBank genome assembly.
GCAGGACUGGAGAGCUCAGCUGGUUAGAGCAUCGUGCUAAAAAUGCCAAGGGUGCUGGUUCAAUCCCCAUACGGGGCAGCUGCA